Long non-coding RNA from Scylla paramamosain (green mud crab), 1848 nucleotides. RefSeq lists it as uncharacterized. The transcript has 4 exons. The record is from RefSeq and is a predicted model, not a curated record. NCBI's taxonomy places the organism in Eukaryota, Metazoa, Arthropoda, Malacostraca, Decapoda, Portunidae.
UAUCCAUUAUUAAAUCUAGAACUUUUAUAGAAUGUCCUUUGCUCGCACAAAUCAACAAUAUCAAACCACUACCCACGACCUCCACGCUACCAACAAUAUCAAGCUACUACGCGGUCCUCCAGAGCAGCCACCACCACACCAAGCAUCAUCAACAGAGACAUUCAUCAUUUCAACGGAGCGGUAAGAAGUACAUCAUCAAAACAGUGUGGUCAACAUCAUCUGGAACACUGGUGACAACAAGUGGCCAAAAUUUACGGAAACAGUGGUAGCAACGGUGUUGUGCGAUCGAAGACACGAACUCUCGACUUUCUCAAAAUCCAGUACAUGCUGAGACAAGAGUAUCAUAUCCCAUCGCAGGCAAGUUGCGAGGCGUUGUCAUUUCCUACCACGCUCAAAUCGUGGGUUACCACACUCUCCACGUGCUAUCUUCCCUGCCGCUUCUGCCUCUUCGCUCCUGACUCAUCCCCGUGGUCACACCUGUCUGCCAUCACACCUGUCGCCGCCUAUUCCUACUCAUCACGCCGCUCCUCUUUGCUGGUUGCCGUUCAUGCUUCUUCCUGAAUUGUGGGUAUCCCUUGGUUCCUUCUCCGAGCCACCCCCACCUCUCCCAUCCGAGUACUCGAGGUCAAGCCUCAUCACCACCACCACUCCCCACCCAGCCCUUCUCAAUGCCCGGACUCGCCCAAGGUCAUCUUUCCAAGUUUGCUCCCAGCAGUGAUCUUCCCAGUCAUCUGGGGCCAGAUCCACGAAACGGUUAUUAUCAACCUCCGGCAGCCAAAUGGUAUCCACGAACGCAUAAGAGGUUGGUGUUGCCAUGGUAGCAAGGUAGUUACACCACCUCCUGAGGUGGUGUAAGUUAACUCGCCCGAAAACUCUUAUUUAAAUAUUUAUGUGCACAAAAUAACUUUUUUUUUUAUUAUUAUUUACAAGCUUUAUCACCAAGAAAGUAUGGUUUUGUGAUGCAUAAAGUGAAAUCUUGCAUGGAACACUGAAAACGAAGCAUGAAAAGGAAGAGGCUGAUUUGCCCCACACGUGCGCACUCCUCAUUCCGCCUCGCAGCAAUAAGUUUGUAUUGUGAUUAAGUAUUGUUUUCGUCGCUUCUCCUGCAUAUAUUGGAUAUUUUCUUUGCAUACUUCCACGUUCGUGCCUUGAGGCGAGAAAGGCGCUUUUGGAAUUGCCUUGAUUCCUUGGCAUUGAGUGAUAAUGAGCUGAUGCUCAAAUACCACUUCCCUAGGCAGACCUUAUCCUCUUGUUUGAGGAGAUGCAGUCUCAGCUGGAGAGAAGAACAAGGCAAAGCCAGGCAUUACCAACUCACACCCAGGUUUUGCUGGCCCUGAGAUUGUUUGCCAGUGGGUCCUUCCAAAACGUCAUUGGAGACACUGCAGGACUUACGCAAGCGUCAGCAGGGUCUUCGAGUGUGUGUGCAUUGUGUUGAGUGAUAAGUCGGUGCAGGAAAUCAAGAUGCCUUCAACACACCUUGAUCAAAGGAGAACUGCACAGCAGUUCUUCAGGAUCAAAAAUUUCUUAAGAGUUAUUGGGACCAUUGAUGGCACCCACAUUGCCAUCAAGGCCCGAAGAGUGGACGAGGCCCUCUACUUUAACUGGAAAAGCUAUCACUCCCUCUGAAAAUCCAACUUGUUUGUGAUGUGAAUGGAGUGAUCCUCAGCUACUGCUUCAGAUUCCCAGUUGCCUUGGAAAGUGCAUUCCUGGCUGAGUGUGGUGCGUGUGCCUGCUACUCGUGUGGUGGUGCUGCUGCUGCUGCGUGAAUCCUCUGCCGUGGGAACCCACCACAAAUAGCUAAUGGAUUCUGUAUGACGGGAUCAGCAGCAGACAGAAUUGCAGUGAUGU